RNAcentral lists this long non-coding RNA (330 nucleotides) under Nicotiana benthamiana. RNAcentral describes it as "long non-coding RNA (NBEN_LNC031540)". Lineage: Eukaryota; Viridiplantae; Streptophyta; Magnoliopsida; Solanales; Solanaceae. The record is from RNAcentral.
UCUGACAUAAUAUGGAAUCUGUUGCUCAUCACCACAGGAGAUAGGGGAGGGAAAUUUGUAAGAUUGAAAUCUGGAGACUGAACCUGCUUAGCUUUAGCUGUCUGUAUAUGAACUUCUGGUUCACAUAUAGGAGCUACAAUUUCUUUGGUGGAUACACUACACUGCACAGUAUCCGACUGUAGGUUAGGUACAAUCUGUUGUUGUGAAAUAGCCUGGUUUGGAACUUUUGGUCUCCAUUCCUGUGCCACUUUAGUUUUCAUCAUCUGGUUGCCUUGUGGAGGUUUAGGAUUAGCCAUACAGUUAUGUCCAACCAUACAACAUUUCUCACAA